GGUUGCAUAGUGUAGUGGUUAUCACUCCAGAUUUUGAUUCUGGUAACCCCGGUUCGGUAUGUUGAGCCUCGAGCUUUAUCUAGGAAUAAUGCAACUAACUAAUGGCCGCAGAACCCGGGUGCGACCU
This 127-nucleotide transfer RNA is filed under the name Bipolaris maydis ATCC 48331. RNAcentral describes it as "tRNA-Gln (TTG) (tRNA-Gln-TTG-1-1)". It matches the Rfam family "tRNA". From Rfam's summary of the family: Transfer RNA (tRNA) molecules are approximately 80 nucleotides in length. Their secondary structure includes four short double-helical elements and three loops (D, anti-codon, and T loops). Lineage: Eukaryota; Fungi; Ascomycota; Dothideomycetes; Pleosporales; Pleosporaceae. The record is from RNAcentral. RNAcentral also lists the same sequence under 1 other name.